This 370-nucleotide ribosomal RNA is filed under the name uncultured cyanobacterium. RNAcentral's name for it is "bacterial SSU rRNA". It matches the Rfam family "Bacterial small subunit ribosomal RNA", at positions 376 to 761 of the family's 1533-position model. The record is from RNAcentral. Lineage: Bacteria; Bacillati; Cyanobacteriota.
CGAAAGCCUGACGGAGCAAUACCGCGUGAGGGAAGAAGGUCUAACAGAUUGUCAACCUCUUUUCUUAGGGAAGAAAAAUGACGGUACCUAAGGAAUAAGCAUCGGCUAACUCCGUGCCAGCAGCCGCGGUAAUACGGGGGAUGCAAGCGUUAUCCGGAAUUAUUGGGCGUAAAGCGUCCGCAGGUGGUUAUACAAGUCUGCUGUCAAAGACCAGAGCUUAACUCUGGAAAGGCGGUGGAAACUGUAAGACUAGAGACCGGUAGGGGUAGAGGGAAUUCCCAGUGUAGCGGUGAAAUGCGUAGAGAUUGGGAAGAACACCAGUGGCGAAGGCGCUCUACUGGGCCGGAACUGACACUCAGGGACGAAAGCU